Molecule: ribosomal RNA, 253 nt
Filed under: uncultured bacterium
Lineage: Bacteria
Description: partial 16S ribosomal RNA
Rfam family: Bacterial small subunit ribosomal RNA
Source: RNAcentral
UACAGAGGGGGCAAGCGUUGUUCGGAAUUACUGGGCGUAAAGGGCGCGUAGGCGGCCUUCUAAGUCGAACGUGAAAUCCCCGGGCUCAACCCGGGAACUGCGUCCGAUACUGGAAGGCUUGAAUCCGGGAGAGGGAUGCGGAAUUCCAGGUGUAGCGGUGAAAUGCGUAGAUAUCUGGAGGAACACCGGUGGCGAAGGCGGCUACCUGGACAGAAACUGACGCUGAGGCACGAAGGUCAGGGGAGCAAACGGG